Molecule: ribosomal RNA, 245 nt
Filed under: uncultured Bellilinea sp.
Lineage: Bacteria; Bacillati; Chloroflexota; Anaerolineae; Anaerolineales; Anaerolineaceae
Description: partial 16S ribosomal RNA
Rfam family: Bacterial small subunit ribosomal RNA
Source: RNAcentral
AACGUAGGUGGCGAGCGUUAUCCGGAUUUACUGGGCGUAAAGGGUGUGCAGGCGGGGAACCAAGUGGUGUAUGAAAUCGCCCGGCUUAACCGGGCGCGGUUAUGCCAGACUGGUGCUCUGGAGUGCGAGAGAGGGGCGUGGAAUUCCGGGUGUAGUGGUGAAAUGCGUAGAGAUCCGGAGGAACCCCAGAGGCGAAGGCGGCGCCCUGGCUCGCAACUGACGCUCAGACACGACAGCAUGGGGAG